CUUCUCGCUCCUAUCAAUGGUUGUGGCAAGAUUGGCGAGCUCAAAGACAUGUCCUCUAAAAGCCCUGUUCUUUACCUCGAUUUUCCUCAGGGUCGGAUGAAGUUGCUUCGGAUCAUUGUGUAUCCAAGAAACAGAUUUUUGACAUUGCAAUUCUCUAGGAGUGGAAAGAAUGUUGUGUAUUGUAUUUUCUGAGGCAUGGUGGGUUGGAACAAAGGAAGAGAACCCGGAGGAAUUGAAACUUGAUUUUCCUAAGGAACUGUUUGAUGUUCUGUUUGUUCAUGUAUCUGUGAUUUUUUUUGGAUAUAUAUAUA
Long non-coding RNA from Populus euphratica (Euphrates poplar), 311 nucleotides. RefSeq lists it as uncharacterized. The record is from RefSeq and is a predicted model, not a curated record. The transcript is spliced from 3 exons. NCBI's taxonomy places the organism in Eukaryota, Viridiplantae, Streptophyta, Magnoliopsida, Malpighiales, Salicaceae.